Molecule: long non-coding RNA, 233 nt
Filed under: Zostera marina
Lineage: Eukaryota; Viridiplantae; Streptophyta; Magnoliopsida; Alismatales; Zosteraceae
Description: long non-coding RNA (ZMAR_LNC005552)
Source: RNAcentral
UCCGCGGGAAACCGGACCGGAACUCAAGUGUGCAGAGCUCUGCUUCGCUAGGACUUCUUCUUCUCCAAAUGACCUGCCUUUAAUGAGUGGGGGGUGCCCUCUAUUUAUAGGGGUUCUUAUGGGGUCAAUCUGGUCAUUUGGGCAGUAACCGCCUAACUGCCCAACUGAUCAGAUUGGGUCCAGGGGUCGACUUUCCAGAGAUCGACUUUCUGGGGGUCGACUUUUCCUGGUGA